GCCGCGUUCGUCUAGUCUGGCCCAGGACGUGAGAUUUUCAUUCUCAAAAUCGCGGGUUCGAAUCCCGCACGCGGUACCA
Molecule: transfer RNA, 79 nt
Filed under: Bacteroidales bacterium
Lineage: Bacteria; Pseudomonadati; Bacteroidota; Bacteroidia; Bacteroidales
Description: tRNA-Glu
Rfam family: tRNA
About the family: Transfer RNA (tRNA) molecules are approximately 80 nucleotides in length. Their secondary structure includes four short double-helical elements and three loops (D, anti-codon, and T loops).
Source: RNAcentral